Molecule: small nucleolar RNA, 216 nt
Filed under: Chinchilla lanigera (long-tailed chinchilla)
Lineage: Eukaryota; Metazoa; Chordata; Mammalia; Rodentia; Chinchillidae
Description: Small nucleolar RNA U3 (ENSCLAG00000020868.1)
Rfam family: Small nucleolar RNA U3
About the family: Small nucleolar RNAs (snoRNAs) are involved in the processing and modification of rRNA in the nucleolus. There are two main classes of snoRNAs: the box C/D class, and the box H/ACA class.
Source: RNAcentral
GAGGCUAUCCUUUCAGGGAUCAUUUCUACAGUACAUUACUAGAGAAGCUUCUCUGAUCGUGCAGAGUACCAGCAGCCACAAGGAGGAGGCGCAGUGCUCCUUCCUGAGCGUGGAGCCGGCUCUUGGUGUUGGUGUGCUACAACUGCCACUGGCCGACUGUCGCUCUUGCUUUCUCCUUGGAGGGAGCAAGAGGGAAGGAAUGCAGCCUGAGUAGGC